RNAcentral lists this ribosomal RNA (309 nucleotides) under uncultured Bacteroidales bacterium. Its description in RNAcentral is "bacterial SSU rRNA". It matches the Rfam family "Bacterial small subunit ribosomal RNA", at positions 930 to 1241 of the family's 1533-position model. The record is from RNAcentral. Lineage: Bacteria; Pseudomonadati; Bacteroidota; Bacteroidia; Bacteroidales.
CGGAGGAACAUGUGGUUUAAUUCGAUGAUACGCGAGGAACCUUACCCGGGCUUAAAUUGCAAAGGAAUAAUCUGGAAACAGAUUAGUCUUCGGACCUUUGUGAAGGUGCUGCAUGGUUGUCGUCAGCUCGUGCCGUGAGGUGUCGGCUUAAGUGCCAUAACGAGCGCAACCCUUGUUGUCAGUUACUAACAGGUUCCGCUGAGGACUCUGACAAGACUGCCAUCGUAAGAUGUGAGGAAGGUGGGGAUGACGUCAAAUCAGCACGGCCCUUGCGUCCGGGGCUACACACGUGUUACAAUGGGGGGUACA